This 360-nucleotide long non-coding RNA is filed under the name Vitis vinifera (wine grape). Its description in RNAcentral is "long non-coding RNA (VVIN_LNC005664)". Lineage: Eukaryota; Viridiplantae; Streptophyta; Magnoliopsida; Vitales; Vitaceae. The record is from RNAcentral.
ACCCGGGCUGAGUCACGAGCGAGUCGCGAAAGCAUCAAAGCCCUGUAGUCCUUAUGCGAGCCUCCAUGAAGAAGCUCCCUCGGGUGAAGCUCCAGAGAGAAAGACGAAGCCAGAGAAGUAGGCGAAAACGACGUGGUCUUCUCAUCUCUCUGGUCAGAGGGUUUCGAGACACUGCUCUUGUGAGAUAGCACGUCGAGAGUCUUCCGAAUAGAACCCGAAACAUCCAGCACAGAGCUGUGAGAAUCAGUGUCCAGCGAUAACUCCCUGGAGAAAACAAAAGGAGAAAGAGAGAGAGCGAAGGCAGCGAAAAUGGAGAAAAUAAAAAACUUGUCCGCCAUUUUGGCUGCAGAGAGGAUAGCC